GCCGCCAUCUGCUCGUCGUGCGGCCACCGUCAUCCCAGCGCCGUGCGAGAGUGUUCAGGAGGAUCGCCCUGGUCGUCUCCAUCGUCUGCGCUCGCAAAGUCAAGACGGAGAGCCCCACCGAGCCAGAUCCUCAUCGUCUUCAACCUCCGGCCGCCUCAAUGCUAUCGUGAUGCCGUCGCCGCGAUUCCUCGCCAUCUGCGCUCCUAAGCUGUCAACGAGCCUCCGUGCGCUCCUCGGUGAGCCCCGUGCCUUUGACCUCCGCCUCCCCUUCGGUCUGCUAUCCCUAGCCGCCGCGCCACCCUUGCCGUAGUUCGUUGCCGCCGUCGUGCUUGCUGCCGUUGUUGUAGUGCUUCCCCGGCUCAGGCGAGCACACCACGGUGCUUCUGGCAUCGCGUGGGAGCUGCCUAGCCCUUCGGUGCUUCGCGUGGGUACUUCUAGCACCGUCCCCCUCGAGUUUUUGCUCUGGCCGCCGCUCACCGUCGUUGUUGCCGUCACCUUAAGUCGGUCCCGCCUGAUCUAGUAGCACUAGUGGACGCGCGACGUCUUGCUCGCCCCCGACCGCACUCGUCGCUGCCCCAUGGCCUUCUGCGCGUGCGCCACCACGCCCGACGCUGGCCACCGCUCGCCCUUGCCGCGUCCAGGGCAUGCCCCCGCAGCCGCCCGCGGUCCCUGCUCCGCCUACUAUCGUUGCUGCUGCGCUGCUUCAGCUCCUGCUGUUGGUGUUGUGGCGCUGCAGCUGCUCUGCUUACCGCUGCGGCUCUCUGCUCCGCUGCCUUAGCCGCCUGAGCUCUCCUGCUGCUGCUUCUUGCUAUUGCUGAUGCUGCAUAGCUACCGCCGCCGCCACUGUUCCUUAGCUGCUGUAGCUGCUGUUUGCUGGUCGCUCUCGCUCGUAGCUGCCAAGUUUGUUUGCUGAAGAAAUAACUGACGAAACUGAAUUGACGUAUAAGGUACUGAAGAAACCCAUCAGACUACCAGAGAGCGCCCCGUCCAAGCUUGGUCUUGUGCGUUGUGUGCAUGAGUGUGUGUUCUGUGUGUGUGGCCGGCCAAAUGCUAGUUUAGGGACUAGUUUAGUUAGUUAGUCUAAUUAGUAGUACUCUAUUAAUUAAUUAGUCUAAUAGUAGAUGACAUGUGGACCCAUUUUUAGUUUAAAGAAAAACGAAUUAUCAGAAAAGUAAGUCAAUGACGUGUGGCCCCCACACUAUUCAUAUGUUGACUAGUCAACUGUUGACUUUGACCCUGACCCCACCUGUCAUAUACUAUGGCUAGAGUAGCACUAGGUGACAAACCUGAUUCCUGUUUUAUUCUCGAAUUAAUAAUAAAUCCAGAAAAUGUUUAAAUCUUUUAAAUUUAUAGAAAGUAAACCGUAACUCGGAUGAAAAUGUUUUCUACAUGAAAGUUGCUCAGAACGACGAGGCGAAUCCGGAUACGCGGUCCAUUCAUCUAUCACAUGCCCCUAGCAUGCUGAACAUGGAACCUUCCCCCUCCAGUCAUCUGUCUGACACAGGUUCGGAACCGGGAAAACAUUCCCGGUUGACUUCCCCCCUCGCCGGUAUCGUGUAGCACCGCGUUAGAACACGUCUAGCUCUGCUUGUUGUCCUGUUAUGCUAUGUUUGCUUUAUAUUUACUAUUCCUUCCCCUUCUUCUCUCCGGUAGACCCCGAGACCGAUGCCGCCCCUGUGAUCGACUACGUCGACGAUGACCCCUCCUUGCCAGAGCAACCA
RNAcentral lists this long non-coding RNA (1721 nucleotides) under Triticum aestivum (bread wheat). RNAcentral's name for it is "long non-coding RNA (TAES_LNC011812)". The record is from RNAcentral. Lineage: Eukaryota; Viridiplantae; Streptophyta; Magnoliopsida; Poales; Poaceae.